AUACAGAGGGUGCGAGCGUUAAUCGGAAUUACUGGGCGUAAAGCGCGCGUAGGCGGUUUAGUAAGUCGGAUGUGAAAGCCCUGGGCUCAACCUGGGAAUUGCAUUCGAUACUGCUUGACUAGAGUAUGGUAGAGGGAAGUGGAAUUUCCGGUGUAGCGGUGAAAUGCGUAGAUAUCGGAAGGAACACCAGUGGCGAAGGCGACUUCCUGGGCCAAUACUGACGCUGAGGUGCGAAAGCGUGGGGAGCAAACAGGAGUAGAAACCCCAGUAGUCC
Molecule: ribosomal RNA, 274 nt
Filed under: uncultured bacterium
Lineage: Bacteria
Description: partial 16S ribosomal RNA
Rfam family: Bacterial small subunit ribosomal RNA
Source: RNAcentral